This is a non-coding RNA of Pongo pygmaeus (Bornean orangutan), 617 nucleotides long. The record is from the annotation of a RefSeq genome assembly. Lineage: Eukaryota; Metazoa; Chordata; Mammalia; Primates; Hominidae.
GAUCCAGCUCACACGGGAAAUACUUUCUGAGAGUCCUGGACCUCCUGUGCAAGAACAUGAAACAUCUGUGGUUCUUCCUUCUCCUGGGGGCAGCUCCCAGAUGGGUCCUGUCCCAAGUGCAGCUGCAGGAGUCGGGCCCAGGACUGGUGAAGCCUUCGGAGACCCUGUCCCUCACCUGCGCUGUCUCUGGUGGCUCCAUCAGUAGUUACUACUGGGGCUGGAUCCGGCAGCCACCAGGGAAGGGACUGGAGUGGAUUGGAUAUAUCUAUUCCAGUGGGAGCACCAACUACAACCCCUCCCUCAAGAGUCGAGUCACUAUGUCAGUAGACACGUCCAAGAACCAGUUCUCCCUGAAGCUGAGCUCUGUGACCUCCGCGGACACGGCCGUGUAUUACUGUGUGAGAUACACAGUGAGGGGAGGUGAGUGUGAGCCCAGACAAAAACCUCCCUGCGGGGAGGCGGAGGGGGCGGACGCAGAAGAGGAAGAGACACAAGAGACCUCUCACUUUUCACGUGCAGGCAUAGAAGAGGCCAUGUGGAGACGUCAUGCACUAGAAGGUGGCCCAGUAGAAACCAGGAAGAAGCUGCGCCAAGAACCAACCCUGCCAGCACAUUGA